GUUGUGAUGAUAAGUUCCCAUCCGAUGACUGUUUGGAGAAGGACCGAAAAGCUACCAUGUCUCUGCAUCCUCGGCACCAUGGUCUGAGUUCAACAGAGAUUCUGUGCCUCAUCCUGAACGUGUUCUUGCUCUUGCACCAAGGUCAGUGAUUUAGAGAGUUAAUAAUAAUCAAUUCGAACUGUGAACCACAUUAUUCUGCACUCCAGCUAGGUGUGUGAGCACAUCUAACUGAUAAUGUUCUCUCAGCAAAUGUGUAAAACAACCAAAUAUAACUUUUCUUAAUAAAGACGAAACAGUAACACACACCAAGAAGCAACUGAGGUAUGCAUACAUUUAGAGCAAAAAGAGGAACCAAAUGCGAAAGUGCUUGAUCUGCUGUAACAAUGCAGAAGUACCACAGGAUGAUAAAGGUACCAGUGUAACUUCCAUACAUUGUCUGUAAAAGAGCUGAGUGACUGAUAUGACAAGAAAUCCAAACCUACUCCUAGAAUAUAAUUUUAAAAUGUUAAGAAGAUUUGUUGUAAUUUGCAUUAAUCACAGAAUACUAUUCAUGAUACAAAUGACUAUUUAUGUUAUUUGCCUUGUAAAAUCCAAAAAAAUAAACUCUUUAAAAGAAAUUUUCUUAUCUACUGAAGGAGGGGAUUUGGUGGCGCAGUGGCUUUGGCUAGGUCCUGCUCUCUAGUGGGUCUGAGGUUUGAGUUCUGCUUGGGGUGCCUUAUGUUGGACUGACAUCCUGGCCUGAGUGUGUCCCCUCCUCCUCCAGCCUUGCACCCUGUGUUGCUGAGUUAGGCUUUAGUUUGCCGAGCCCCUGCUUGGGACAAGUGGUUUUAGACAGUGUGUGUGCGUUACUGUAUUUGUGUCCAAAUCGCAGGCAUCUUUCAAGUUAUAUAACUGUGCCAGUGAUUUGGCCUGUCUGGUAAUGAUGUAUCAGAAUAAAUGAACAUUUUACAAGUUUUAAAUUGGUUAUAUGAAGGGUUUUCUCUGUUGUCCAGGAAAAUUGUCAGCGAUCUCUGUGAUCCAGGAGCCCAGUGUCAUUGUGUCUGAAAUAGAAAAGAACAUCACGCUGAACUGCCUGUUCACACACACACCUGAGCAGAAGGUGACAGGCCCAAUCUUGUACUGGUACUAUGGAUCCGAUGAACUUCUGUACCCUCACCCUAUACCGCAGUACAAGAAUCGGGUGAUAGUUCUAAAUCCAGACAAAGACUCCAGCAACAGGUCCAUACUUCUACUUAAUGUGCAGUGGGAAGACAACAGGAAGUUCCACUGCAUGCUGUCAUAUGAAAAAUCAGGGCAUGGUGCUAGGACCAGAGGGAAAGGAGUCAAACUUCUACUCCACGGGCCUAUGAUGUUCAAUGUUUCCUCUGAGUCAGAGAAUGAUCUGCUCUGCAACAUCACAGUAUCCUCUAACAGUGGUUUUCAUCUGACUGUGCUCUGCAAUGGGGUGGAGGUGGCCAAAAGUCAGAGCGAAAUCCGUGACAAAUUUACAGUGCUGUCAGCUCUUGUUCAUGAGCACAUGGAGUGCGAAUGCUGCCUGAACCUGGACUCCACCGUGGUCUUGUCUCGGUCUUACAUCCGGAAGUCUAAAGGUACAUCCACCACGAAUGAGCUGGAAAGAAAAAAUCAUUCUAAAUGCUCUCAGCUUGUAUCAAAAUUCAUAUAAAUUGUGUUUUCUACUUUAACUGUACUAUAUGUUUACAUGUCUAGUUUAAUUUCCUGAUGACAAAUCUCUCUGUUUUUGGUUUGUUUUAGAGGACCAGAGGGCAGAUCUCCCAGAACCAGUGUUCCUCUAUGCUGCCAUCCUCUCAAUCCCCUUCAGCAUCACUCUCAUUAUGGUCAUAGUUUUCCCCAUUUUCGGGAAUAGAAAAAGCAAACAAAGCAAAAGAAAACCUUAAAAGUUUAAAAUGUAUCCCUCUGCAGGUCGAUUGACGUAGCUGUGGGUUUAUAGUGUCCUGGAUGGUUACGUGAUGUAACUGUGAAACAAUGUAUAGAGGGCUGUCAUUUAGCAGGAUCAUCUGUGCAUUUAACAAAAAGUUAAGGCUGAACGAAUACUUUCUCUCCCUGUCUCAUCAUUUCUUUCAGUGCAGGAAUAUAGCUG
Molecule: long non-coding RNA, 2098 nt
Organism: Scleropages formosus (Asian bonytongue)
Lineage: Eukaryota; Metazoa; Chordata; Actinopteri; Osteoglossiformes; Osteoglossidae
Source: Ensembl